This 75-nucleotide transfer RNA is filed under the name Candidatus Berkelbacteria bacterium CG10_big_fil_rev_8_21_14_0_10_43_13. Its description in RNAcentral is "tRNA-Glu". The stretch from base 7 to 64 matches the Rfam family "tRNA", at positions 9 to 63 of the family's 71-position model. Rfam says of the family: Transfer RNA (tRNA) molecules are approximately 80 nucleotides in length. Their secondary structure includes four short double-helical elements and three loops (D, anti-codon, and T loops). Lineage: Bacteria; Candidatus Berkelbacteria. The record is from RNAcentral.
UCCGGGAGGCUAGUGGUCUAGGACAUCGCCCUCUCACGGCGAAGAUCAUGGGUUCGACUCCCAUACGCGGUACCA